GGGCGAAGAGGUGGCGGGGGCGGUCCCAGCGAGGCAGCGUUCUGAUUACUUAUACUUCAGAAGCCUAUCAAAAAGGCGCAAGCGCAUUGAGGGUAUUAGGCGGGGGCCGGAAGUAGAAGAGAAGGGAGGGGGUGAGUGUCCCGAGGGGAGGAGUCUAAGACCUUCGCCAAAGAAGCUUGUUGACUGGCUCUGCGCUCGCCAGGCACAGGUGGGGCCGAAGCUCAUGAAGCUGUUUGUGCAGCCUCAACUACGGUAUACUCAAGAUGGCCACAGGAAAGAUGGGACUGGCGCCAGAGGCAUAGCCGCAGAGAGGCUAGAAUGAGAUUCUAGAGUUCUCAAGGAAUCUGGACAAGGUCUGAUGUGGUGUGUUAAAUUUGCAUAAAUUCAAAUGCCAUAUACUAUAUAUUCUCCAAUGUCCCCAAGGGGUUAAGUAAAAGACUGGAUAAUCAAAUGUGUUCAUAGAUCAACUUGAUUGUCAACUUUCUUAAAAACCAGAAACUUAGCCUAUUGUGGUGGUGUACACUUGUAAUCUCAGUGCUUGGGAGGGUGAAGCAGGAGGAUGAUGAAUUUGAGACCAACCUGGGCUACAGAGCAUGACCCUACCUCACAAACAAAACAAAAUAAUCCUUGGUUUUAGAGCUUUUUGGAUUUCAGAAGUAGUGC
This 663-nucleotide long non-coding RNA is filed under the name Chinchilla lanigera (long-tailed chinchilla). RNAcentral describes it as "lncRNA (ENSCLAG00000022333.1)". Lineage: Eukaryota; Metazoa; Chordata; Mammalia; Rodentia; Chinchillidae. The record is from RNAcentral.